UUCCCUGCAUAGUACGUGUAGACUGGAAUUUUAGAACCAACAAAUUUAAAAAGGGAGUCCGCCUUUGAAUGUGGCGUGUAUGCUUAUUUAUUUUUAAAUAAGAAACCCAGAAGCAUUCAACAAGACACCCACCUGUGAAAACAGGUCCUUAAAAUUUCAUUCACCUUACGGCUAAAGCGGGGUAU
RNAcentral lists this non-coding RNA (185 nucleotides) under human gut metagenome. Its description in RNAcentral is "6S / SsrS RNA". It matches the Rfam family "6S / SsrS RNA". From Rfam's summary of the family: E. coli 6S RNA was the first non coding RNA to be sequenced, but its function was unknown until recently. It consists of 184 nucleotides that fold into an extended hairpin structure with a large single-stranded internal bulge. The 6S RNA specifically associates with RNA polymerase holoenzyme containing the sigma70 specificity factor. RNAcentral also lists the same sequence under 1 other name. The record is from RNAcentral.